This 579-nucleotide ribosomal RNA is filed under the name Penicillium miczynskii. RNAcentral's name for it is "eukaryotic LSU rRNA". The stretch from base 202 to 355 matches the Rfam family "5.8S ribosomal RNA". Lineage: Eukaryota; Fungi; Ascomycota; Eurotiomycetes; Eurotiales; Aspergillaceae. The record is from RNAcentral.
CUGAAGCGACUGCGGAGGAUCAUUACUGAGUGAGGGCCCCUCGGGGUCCAAACCUCCCACCCGUGUUUAACGAACCUUGUUGCUUCGGCGGGCCCGCCUCACGGCCGCCGGGGGGCAUCUGCCCCCGGGUCCGCGCCCGCCGAAGCCACCUGUGAACUCUGUCUGAAGUAUGCAGUCUGAGACAAUUAUUAAAUUAAUUAAAACUUUCAACAACGGAUCUCUUGGUUCCGGCAUCGAUGAAGAACGCAGCGAAAUGCGAUAACUAAUGUGAAUUGCAGAAUUCAGUGAAUCAUCGAGUCUUUGAACGCACAUUGCGCCCUCUGGUAUUCCGGAGGGCAUGCCUGUCCGAGCGUCAUUGCUGCCCUCCAGCCCGGCUGGUGUGUUGGGUCCCGCCCCCCUUCCCGGGGCGGCGGGCCCGAAAGGCAGCGGCGGCACCGCGUCCGGUCCUCGAGCGUAUGGGGCUUUGUCACCCGCUCUUGUAGGCCCGGCCGGCGCCAGCCGACCCCCUCAAUCUAUUUUUUCAGGUUGACAUCGAAACGAGGUGGGGAUCCCCGAUAAACUAGUAAUAUCUUUUUUGCA